GUGGGGAAUAUUGGACAAUGGGCGCAAGCCUGAUCCAGCCAUGCCGCGUGAGUGAUGAAGGCCUUAGGGUUGUAAAGCUCUUUUGUCCGGGAAGAUAAUGACUGUACCGGAAGAAUAAGCCCCGGCUAACUUCGUGCCAGCAGCCGCGGUAAUACGAAGGGGGCUAGCGUUGUUCGGAAUCACUGGGCGUAAAGCGCACGUAGGCGGACCAUUAAGUCAGGGGUGAAAGCCUGGAGCUCAACUCCAGAACUGCCUUUGAUACUGAUGGUAUCGAGUAUGGAAGAGGUUGGUGGAACUGCGAGUGUAGAGGUGAAAUUCGUAGAUAUUCGCAAGAACACCGGUGGCGAAGGCGGCCAACUGGUCCAUUACUGACGCUGAGGUGCGAAAGCGUGGGGAGCAAACAGGAUUAGAUACCCUAGUAGUCC
RNAcentral lists this ribosomal RNA (425 nucleotides) under uncultured bacterium. RNAcentral describes it as "partial 16S ribosomal RNA". It matches the Rfam family "Bacterial small subunit ribosomal RNA", at positions 354 to 796 of the family's 1533-position model. The record is from RNAcentral.